RNAcentral lists this ribosomal RNA (679 nucleotides) under uncultured bacterium. Its description in RNAcentral is "partial 16S ribosomal RNA". The stretch from base 351 to 679 matches the Rfam family "Bacterial small subunit ribosomal RNA", at positions 1 to 456 of the family's 1533-position model. The record is from RNAcentral.
CACUUACCUUCCCCCGUGUUGGUCGUCCGUUCGGUCCCCUACCCCGAACCGUAACCGUUCCGGGCCCGGCCGGUACCGGUUACCGGGUUUUAGGUAACUUCCCGGUCGGGUCCUUACGGAACGGAAACGAAAAACCGCGUUCGGGGCCGGGCGGUCGGUACCUUUAAACCAACUAGUCGAACGUAACGUACCGGGUAAACCGGGUUCCUUCCUUUCCGUUUACCGGGAAGGAAGUAAGUUAGGUCGGGGACCGGGGUACCGGGGUAGGUAAACGUAAACCGUAACGGUUUAGGUUACCGUACCGUCCCGCCCCCGUUCGGGGGUAGGGGGUAAAACUUAACCUUCCCGUAACGGAAAAGGGUAGGGUCGUAACUUAAACGUACCCGCAACGUACCGCUACCACGUAGGAGUUGUCCUGUGAGGAAACGCGAGAGUGACCGAGGGAGGGGACUGCGGCGGAUUAGCUAGUUGGUGGGGUAAUGGCCUACCAAGGCGACGAUCCGUAGCUGGUCUGAGAGGACGACCAGCCACACUGGGACUGAGACACGGCCCAGACUCCGUACGGGAGGCAGCAGUGAGGAAUAUUCCACAAUGGGCGAAAGCCUGAUGGAGCGACGCCGCGUGCGGGAUGAAGUCCCGUUUGGGGUGUAAACCGUCUUUUUAGGGGAUGAUACGUGUC